GAGUUUGAUCCUGGCUCAGGACGAACGCUGGCGUUAUGCUUAACACAUGCAAGUCGAACGAGACGAAGGUGCUUGCACCUUUUGAAAGUGGCGAACGGGUGAGUAACGCGUGGGUAACCUACCCCUUGGAAAGGAAUAGCCCCGGGAAACUGGGUGUAAUACCUUAUAAGAUACAGUUGUCGCAUGGCAGUUGUAUUAAACGCUCCGGCGCCAUAGGAUGGACCCGCGUCCCAUUAGCUAGUUGGUGAGAUAACAGCUCACCAAGGCGACGAUGGGUAACCGGUCUGAGAGGGCGAACGGUCACACUGGAACUGAGACAC
RNAcentral lists this ribosomal RNA (320 nucleotides) under uncultured low G+C Gram-positive bacterium 303ev. Its description in RNAcentral is "bacterial SSU rRNA". It matches the Rfam family "Bacterial small subunit ribosomal RNA", at positions 9 to 327 of the family's 1533-position model. The record is from RNAcentral. Lineage: Bacteria; Bacillati; Bacillota.